GGUUGAUCCUGCCAGUAGUCAUAUGCUUGUCUCAAAGAUUAAGCCAUGCAUGUCUAAGUAUAAAUAAAUUUAUAUGGUGAAACUGCGAAUGGCUCAUUAAAUCAGUUAUGAUGUACGUGAUAAAUUCUUACUACUUGGAUAACCGUGGUAAUUCUAGAGCUAAUACAUGCAAAAAAGCCUCGACUUCGGAAGGGGUGCACUUAUUAGAUUAAACCAACGCUGGGGUAAAAUCCAGAUUUCUUUGGUGAUUCAUAAUAAUUAAGCGGAUCGCAUGGCCUAGUGCCGGCGACGA
This 292-nucleotide ribosomal RNA is filed under the name uncultured eukaryote. RNAcentral's name for it is "partial 18S ribosomal RNA". It matches the Rfam family "Eukaryotic small subunit ribosomal RNA", at positions 6 to 293 of the family's 1831-position model. The record is from RNAcentral.